GGGAGCGUGGCCGAGAGGUUUAAGGCGUCAGGAUCAGAACCUGAUUUUCUCCAUGAGAUUCCCUGGGUUCGAACCCCAGCGCUCCCA
This 87-nucleotide transfer RNA is filed under the name Brettanomyces bruxellensis. It matches the Rfam family "tRNA". From Rfam's summary of the family: Transfer RNA (tRNA) molecules are approximately 80 nucleotides in length. Their secondary structure includes four short double-helical elements and three loops (D, anti-codon, and T loops). Lineage: Eukaryota; Fungi; Ascomycota; Pichiomycetes; Pichiales; Pichiaceae. The record is from RNAcentral.